This 20-nucleotide non-coding RNA is filed under the name Arabidopsis thaliana (thale cress). The record is from RNAcentral. Lineage: Eukaryota; Viridiplantae; Streptophyta; Magnoliopsida; Brassicales; Brassicaceae.
UCUCUUUUCGUUUGCUGUUC